RNAcentral lists this ribosomal RNA (966 nucleotides) under anaerobic digester metagenome. RNAcentral describes it as "bacterial SSU rRNA". It matches the Rfam family "Bacterial small subunit ribosomal RNA", at positions 8 to 926 of the family's 1533-position model. The record is from RNAcentral.
AGAGUUUGAUCAUAGCUCAGGAUGAACGUUGGCUGUGUGCCUAAGGUAUGCAAGUCGAACGAUCCCGCCAACCUAUAGUUGCUUGCAAUUACUGGUUUUAGGGAUAGUGGCAAACGGGUGAGUAACACGUGGACAACCUGCCUUGAAGUCAUGAAUAGCUCAUCGAAAGAUGAGAUAAUACAUGAUAGUCUUACUUUUUCUUUAGAUUUUGUAAGUAAAGUUACGGCGCUUCAAGAGGGGUCUGCGUCCUAUCAGCUUGUUGGUGAGGUAAUAGCUCACCAAGGCUAAGACGGGUAGCUGGCGUGAGAGCGCGGUCAGCCACCAUGGAACUGAGACACGGUCCAUACUNNNNNNNNNNGUCCAUACUCCUACGGGAGGCAGCAAUUAGGAAUCUUGCGCAAUGGGGGCAACCCUGACGCAGCGACACAGCGUGGAGGAAGAAUGUCUUCGGAUUGUAAACUCCUUUUAUAUGGGAAGAAUAGAUGACGGUACCAUAUGAAUAAGCACCUGCUAACUACGUGCCAGAAGCAUCGGUAAUGCGUAGGGUGCGAACGUUAUCCGGAUUUAUUGGGCGUAUAGGGAUGCGUAGGCGUUUCUGUAAGUCUUUAGUUAAAGGCCACGGCUCAACCGUGGAAAAGCUUCGGAUACUGCAGAAAUUGAGACAGGAAGAGGCGAACAGAAUUCCCAGUGGAGCGGUGAAAUGCGUUGAUACUGGGAGGAAUAUCAGUGGCGAAGGCGGUUCGCUGGUCCUUGUCUGACGCUAAGGCUCGAAAGCGUGGGUAGCGAAACGGAUUAGAUACCCGUGUAGUCCACGCUGUAAACUAUGAAUGCUAGGUGUUCGGUACAACUGUUUUUCCCCUCGGGGAAAAAUGGAAGUAUUGAGUGCCGCAGUUAACACGUUAAGCAUUCCGCCUGGGAAGUACUGCCGCAAGGCUAAAACUCAAAUGAAUUGGCGGGGACCCGCAC